UACGGAGGGUGCAGGCGUUAUCCGGAUUUACUGGGUUUAAAGGGAGCGCAGGCGGAUUAGUAAGACAGUGGUGAAAGCCUUGAGCUUAACUCGAGAACUGCCAUUGAUACUAUUAGUCUUGAAUGUUGUUGAGGUUUGCGGAAUGGGUCAUGUAGCGGUGAAAUGCAUAGAUAUGACUUAGAACACCAAUUGCGAAGGCAGCUUGCUAAACAAAUAUUGACGCUGAGGCACGAAAGCGUGGGGAUCAAACAGU
This 253-nucleotide ribosomal RNA is filed under the name uncultured bacterium. Its description in RNAcentral is "partial 16S ribosomal RNA". It matches the Rfam family "Bacterial small subunit ribosomal RNA", at positions 524 to 776 of the family's 1533-position model. The record is from RNAcentral.